UACGAAGGGUGCAAGCUUUAGUCGGAAUUACUGGGCGUAAAGCGUGCGUAGGUGGUUUCUUAAGUCCGUUGUGAAAGCCCUGGGCUCAACCUGGGAACUGCAGUGGAUACUGAGAGGCUAGAGUGUGUCAGAGGAUGGUGGAAUUCCCGGUGUAGCGGUGAAAUGCGUAGAGAUCGGGAGGAACAUCAGUGGCGAAGGCGGCCAUCUGGGACAACACUGACGCUGAGGCACGAAAGCGUGGGGAGCAAACAGG
This 253-nucleotide ribosomal RNA is filed under the name uncultured bacterium. RNAcentral's name for it is "partial 16S ribosomal RNA". It matches the Rfam family "Bacterial small subunit ribosomal RNA", at positions 524 to 776 of the family's 1533-position model. The record is from RNAcentral.